This 466-nucleotide ribosomal RNA is filed under the name uncultured bacterium. Its description in RNAcentral is "partial 16S ribosomal RNA". It matches the Rfam family "Bacterial small subunit ribosomal RNA", at positions 28 to 507 of the family's 1533-position model. The record is from RNAcentral.
GACGAACGCUGGCGGUGUGCUUAACACAUGCAAGUCGAACGGUAAGGCCCUUUCGGGGGUACACGAGUGGCGAACGGGUGAGUAACACGUGAGUAACCUGCCCUCAUCUCUGGGAUAACAGUCGGAAACGGUUGCUAAUACUGGAUAUGAGCUUGCAAGGCAUCUUGUGGGUUGGAAAGAUUUUUUUGGUUGGGGAUGGACUCGCGGCCUAUCAGCUUGUUGGUGAGGUAGUGGCUCACCAAGGCUUCGACGGGUAGCCGGCCUGAGAGGGCGACCGGCCACAUUGGGACUGAGAUACGGCCCAAACUCCUACGGGAGGCAGCAGUGGGGAAUAUUGCACAAUGGACGGAAGUCUGAUGCAGCAACGCCGCGUGCGGGAUGACGGCCUUCGGGUUGGAAACCGCGUUCAAUUGUGACGAAGCUUUUUGUGACGGUAGCAGUAGAAGAAGCACCGGCUAACUACGUG